CUUUGAUUGACAGGGCAGUCAAAUCACCGCCUGAUUGUGUGACUUUCCUCUCGUAAGGCUCGGGGGUGAGACUUGAACAACUUCAAUCUCUUGGAGCCUCUCAGGGAUCAGGCUGCUCCAUAUUCACUCUUUAAAAAGAUCGGCACUCAUUUUCCUUUAAAGUUGGGGUUAGUCUGCCUGAGUUGCAUACUAAUCGGGAGAAUGAAUUCAUUACCAACAGCUAGAUUAGGUUUUGCAGCUGCUGCGCCCGGGGAUCUAGUAAAGGCGGCAGCACGAAAAUCCUGUGCUGAUCAAGGCAGCCUGAAAAUGCAGUCCUGCGUGUUCUUCAGUAUUUACAGUUGGACUGUUAAGAAGGCUGAGCGCCGAAGAAUUGAUGCUUUUGAGCUGUGGUGUUGGAGAAGACUCUUGAGAGUCUCUUGGACUGCAAGGAGAUCCAACCAGUCCAUUCUGAAGGAGAUCAGCCCUGGGAUUUCUUUGGAAGGAAUGAUGCUAAAGCUGAAACUCCAGUACUUGGGCCACCUCAUGCGAAGAGUUGACUCAUUGGAAAAGACUCUGAUGCUGGGAGGGAUUGUGGGCAGGAGGAGAAGGGGACGACAGAGGAUGAGAUGGCUGGAUGGCAUCACUGACUCGAUGAACGUGAGUCUGGGUGAACUCUGGGAGUUGGUGAUGGACAGGGAGGCCUGGUGUGCUGCAGUUCAUGGGGUCGCAAAGAGUCAGAUACGACUGAGCAACUGAUCUGAUCUGAUCUGAUUGUAUUUCCUCCAUCUUUUACCCCCCUUUCUGUACCUUUUGCCUUUUUUUCCCUUGAUGCUGAAUUCAGAAUCAUUUAUCCUGUCUUGUUUCCCAAAUAUAAUGUAGGCAUUCAGUGAAUCUUAGUUGAAUGAAAUGAAAUACUGAACUUAAGAAAAGUUCUUACUAUAUGAGACUAGCUUUCUGUGAGAUAUACAACGUGAAAAAACUUCACCUGAUAUAAGGCUUUCAGUUUUAUGUUACAAAACCCCAGGCCUGCAGGAUAGAUGACUCAGUCAGGGUCACAGAGCUUGGUAGUAGUAUAUGUGGCCCCAGAACUCAGAUCUGACUUUAAAUGCAUUCUUCUUGCCACUUCACUGCACAAUUUCUCAUUCAAAUCCAAAAUAUUGUAAUAUGCAUAAUGACGAUAUGUAUACAAUAUUUUCUCUGUUUUCACUUAUGAGAAAUUACAUUGUUAUUUAUAAAACAAGUCUGUUUCCUCUCAAUGACCAGUGAUAAAUAAGGAAUUUGUAAGUGAUGUAGGAAAGGACCAGGAAGUCUUAAGAACUAAUCAAAGAGGGUUUUGAUAGCUUUAGUAAGAUAGUGACUUCCUAGUAGAAAGCCCUCAGGUAAAUAAACAGAGCGUCUUCUCGUUCA
This 1386-nucleotide long non-coding RNA is filed under the name Bos indicus x Bos taurus (hybrid cattle). RNAcentral describes it as "lncRNA (ENSBIXG00005029610.1)". Lineage: Eukaryota; Metazoa; Chordata; Mammalia; Artiodactyla; Bovidae. The record is from RNAcentral.